RNAcentral lists this ribosomal RNA (504 nucleotides) under uncultured bacterium. Its description in RNAcentral is "partial 16S ribosomal RNA". It matches the Rfam family "Bacterial small subunit ribosomal RNA", at positions 29 to 523 of the family's 1533-position model. The record is from RNAcentral.
AUUGAACGCUGGCGGCAGGCCUAACACAUGCAAGUCGAACGGUAGCACAGAGAGCUCGCUCUCGGGUGACGAGUGGCGGACGGGUGAGUAAUGUCUGGGAAACUGCCCGAUGGAGGGGGAUAACUACUGGAAACGGUAGCUAAUACCGCAUAACGUCGCAAGACCAAAGUGGGGGACCUUCGGGCCUCACACCAUCGGAUGUGCCCGGAUGGGAUUAGCUAGUAGGUGGGGUAAUGGCUCACCUAGGCGACGAUCCCUAGCUGGUCUGAGAGGAGGACCAGCAACACUGGAACUGAGACACGGUCCAGACUCCUACGGGAGGCAGCAGUGGGGAAUAUUGCACAAUGGGCGCAAGCCUGAUGCAGCCAUGCCGCGUGUAUGAAGAAGGCCUUCGGGUUGUAAAGUACUUUCAGCGGGGAGGAAGGCGGUGAAGUUAAUAACUUCACCGAUUGACGUUACCCGCAGAAGAAGCACCGGCUAACUCCGUGCCAGCAGCCGCCGUAA